UACGAAGGGGGCUAGCGUUGCUCGGAAUCACUGGGCGUAAAGGGCGCGUAGGCGGACAUUUAAGUCGGGGGUGAAAGCCCGGGGCUCAACCCCGGAAUUGCCUCCGAUACUGGAUGUCUCGAGACCGGAAGAGGUAAGUGGAACUGCGAGUGUAGAGGUGAAAUUCGUAGAUAUUCGCAAGAACACCAGUGGCGAAGGCGGCUUACUGGUCCGGUUCUGACGCUGAGGCG
RNAcentral lists this ribosomal RNA (230 nucleotides) under uncultured microorganism. Its description in RNAcentral is "partial 16S ribosomal RNA". It matches the Rfam family "Bacterial small subunit ribosomal RNA", at positions 524 to 753 of the family's 1533-position model. The record is from RNAcentral.